AUGUUUUCCCAAUUUUUUCCUAUUUUUUCCCAUCUUUUUCCUAUUUUUUCCCCAUUUUUUUCUCUUUUUUUCCCAUUUUUUCUCAAUAUUUCCCAUUUUUUUCCCAUUUUCCCAGUUUAUUCCCAUUUUCGAUGUUUUCCCAUUUUUUUCCCAUUUUUUUUCCAUUUUUUUCCCAUUUUUUUUCCAUUUUUUUCCCAUUUUUUUCCCAUUUUUUUCUCUUAUUUUCCCAUUUUUCUCAAUAUUUCCCAAUUUUUUUCCCAUUUUCCCAGUUUAUUCCAAUUUUUCUUGAUGUUUUCCCCACUUUCCCCAUUUUUUUUCCCAUUUUUUCUCUUUUUUUCCCAUUUUUUUCCAUUUUUUUCCCAAUAUUUCCCCCUAUUUUCCCAGUUUAUUCCCAUUUUUGAUGUUUUCCCAUUUUUUUCCCAUUUUUUUCCCAUUUUUUUCUCUUUUUUUCCGAUUUUUCUCAAUAUUUCCCAUUUUUUUCCCAUUUUCCCAGUUUAUUCCCAUUUUCGAUAUUUUCCCAUUUUUUUCCGAUUUUCCCAUUUUUUUCCCAUUUUUUCCCAUUUUUUUCCUAUUUUUUCCCAUUUUUUUCCCAUUUUUUUCUCUUUUUUCCCCAUUUUCCCCCAAUAUUCCCAUAUUUUUUCCCAUUUUCCCAGUUUAUCCCAAUUUUUCUUAAUAUUUUCCCCACUUUCCCCAUUUUUCCCCAUUUUUCCCCAUUUUCCCCCAAUAUUCCCAAUAUUUUUUCCCAUCUUCCCAGGUUUUUUUCCCAAUUUUUCCCACUUUUAUCCCAGAUUUUCCCCUUUCCCCUCCCCCUUUCCCCGUCCCGCUCAAUCCCGGCGUUCCCUCGGGAAUGCCCCGGCCGUUCCGCGUUUUCCAGGCCUACCUGGAGAUGAAUUUCAAGGAAGCCGUCAUGGCCGCCGUCAAGUUCGGGGAGACGGCGCCGCUGCUGCUGCACGGGAAACGCGUCCGGCUGAGCGUGGCCGAGAGAGCGCGCGGGGGACAGGUAACAACAGCCGGAACUACACCCGGAACUACACCGGGAAUCGUUAA
Molecule: long non-coding RNA, 1047 nt
Filed under: Cyanistes caeruleus (blue tit)
Lineage: Eukaryota; Metazoa; Chordata; Aves; Passeriformes; Paridae
Description: lncRNA (ENSCCEG00000006395.1)
Source: RNAcentral